RNAcentral lists this ribosomal RNA (483 nucleotides) under Acinetobacter sp. SC10. RNAcentral describes it as "bacterial SSU rRNA". It matches the Rfam family "Bacterial small subunit ribosomal RNA", at positions 27 to 504 of the family's 1533-position model. The record is from RNAcentral. Lineage: Bacteria; Pseudomonadati; Pseudomonadota; Gammaproteobacteria; Moraxellales; Moraxellaceae.
GAUUGAACGCUGGCGGCAGGCUUAACACAUGCAAGUCGAGCGGAGAUGAGGUGCUUGCACCUUAUCUUAGCGGCGGACGGGUGAGUAAUGCUUAGGAAUCUGCCUAUUAGUGGGGGACAACAUUUCGAAAGGAAUGCUAAUACCGCAUACGCCCUACGGGGGAAAGCAGGGGAUCUUCGGACCUUGCGCUAAUAGAUGAGCCUAAGUCGGAUUAGCUAGUUGGUGGGGUAAAGGCCUACCAAGGCGACGAUCUGUAGCGGGUCUGAGAGGAUGAUCCGCCACACUGGGACUGAGACACGGCCCAGACUCCUACGGGAGGCAGCAGUGGGGAAUAUUGGACAAUGGGGGGAACCCUGAUCCAGCCAUGCCGCGUGUGUGAAGAAGGCCUUUUGGUUGUAAAGCACUUUAAGCGAGGAGGAGGAGCUCUAGAUUAAUACUCUAGAUGCUUGGACGUUACUCGCAGAAUAAGCACCGGCUAACUCU